RNAcentral lists this microRNA precursor (50 nucleotides) under Marmota monax (woodchuck). Lineage: Eukaryota; Metazoa; Chordata; Mammalia; Rodentia; Sciuridae. The record is from RNAcentral.
AUUUUAGUAUAAUUAUAUCCCAUGAAAUAUUUGAGAUACUUACACUAAAA